Molecule: ribosomal RNA, 458 nt
Filed under: uncultured bacterium
Lineage: Bacteria
Description: partial 16S ribosomal RNA
Rfam family: Bacterial small subunit ribosomal RNA
Source: RNAcentral
AACGAACGCUGGCGGCAUGCCUAACACAUGCAAGUCGAACGAGACCUUCGGGUCUAGUGGCGCACGGGUGCGUAACGCGUGGGAACCUGCCCUUAGGUUCGGAAUAACUCCCCGAAAGGGGUGCUAAUACCGGAUAAUGUCUUCGGACCAAAGAUUUAUCGCCUCUGGAUGGGCCCGCGUUGCAUUAGCUAGUUGGUAGGGUAACAGCCUACCAAGGCAACGAUGCAUAGCUGAUCUGAGAGGGUGAUCAGCCACACUGGAACUGAGACACGGCCCAGACGCCUACGGGAGGCAGCAGUAGGGAAUCUUCAGCAAUGGGCGAAAGCCUGACGGAGCAACGCCGCGUGAGUGAUGAAGGUCUUCGGAUCGUAAAACUCUGUUAUUAGGGAAGAACAAAUGUGUAAGUAACUAUGCACGGCUUGACGGUACCUAAUCAGAAAGCCACGGCUAACUACGUG